GAUGAACGCUGGCGGCGUGCCUAAUACAUGCAAGUUGAGCGCUGGAGGUUGGUACUUGUAUCAAUUGUAUGAGCAGCGAACGGGUGAGUAACGCGUGGGGAAUCUGCCUUUGAGCGGGGGAUAACAUCGGGAAACGAAUGCUAAUACCGCAUAAUAACUUUAAACACAUGGUUCAAGUUUGAAAGAUGCAAUUGCAUCACUCAAAGAUGAGCUCGCGUUGGAUUAGCUAGUUGGUGAGGUAAAGGCCCACCCAGGCGAUGAUACAUAGCCGACCUGAGAGGGUGAUCCGCCAACAUGGGACUUGGGAACCGCCCAAGCUCCCUCCGGAAGCAGCAGUAGGGGAUCUUCGGCAAAAGACGAAAGUCUGGACGGACAACGGCGGGGUGGGGAAGGAGGUUCUCGGAUCCUAAAACUCUUUUGAUAGGGGAAGACGUUAGUGGGAGUGGAAUGCGCAUAAAGUGACGGUAACUACCCAGAAAGCGACGGCUAACUACGUG
This 497-nucleotide ribosomal RNA is filed under the name uncultured bacterium. RNAcentral describes it as "partial 16S ribosomal RNA". It matches the Rfam family "Bacterial small subunit ribosomal RNA", at positions 28 to 507 of the family's 1533-position model. The record is from RNAcentral.